RNAcentral lists this ribosomal RNA (773 nucleotides) under Streptococcus anginosus. RNAcentral describes it as "bacterial SSU rRNA". It matches the Rfam family "Bacterial small subunit ribosomal RNA", at positions 28 to 776 of the family's 1533-position model. Lineage: Bacteria; Bacillati; Bacillota; Bacilli; Lactobacillales; Streptococcaceae. The record is from RNAcentral.
GACGAACGCUGGCGGCGUGCCUAAUACAUGCAAGUAGGACGCACAGCCUAUACCGUAGCUUGCUACACCAUAGGCUGUGAGUUGCGAACGGGUGAGUAACGCGUAGGUAACCUGCCUAUUAGAGGGGGAUAACUAUUGGAAACGAUAGCUAAUACCGCAUAACAGUAUGUAACACAUGUUAGAUGCUUGAAAGAUGCAAUUGCAUCGCUAGUAGAUGGACCUGCGUUGUAUUAGCUAGUAGGUAGGGUAAUGGCCUACCUAGGCAACGAUACAUAGCCGACCUGAGAGGGUGAUCGGCCACACUGGGACUGAGACACGGCCCAGACUCCUACGGGAGGCAGCAGUAGGGAAUCUUCGGCAAUGGGGGGAACCCUGACCGAGCAACGCCGCGUGAGUGAAGAAGGUUUUCGGAUCGUAAAGCUCUGUUGUUAAGGAAGAACGAGUGUGAGAAUGGAAAGUUCAUACUGUGACGGUACUUAGCCAGAAAGGGACGGCUAACUACGUGCCAGCAGCCGCGGUAAUACGUAGGUCCCGAGCGUUGUCCGGAUUUAUUGGGCGUAAAGCGAGCGCAGGCGGUUAGAAAAGUCUGAAGUGAAAGGCAGUGGCUCAACCAUUGUAGGCUUUGGAAACUGUUUAACUUGAGUGCAGAAGGGGAGAGUGGAAUUCCAUGUGUAGCGGUGAAAUGCGUAGAUAUAUGGAGGAACACCAGUGGCGAAGGCGACUCUCUGGUCUGUAACUGACGCUGAGGCUCGAAAGCGUGAGGAGCGAACAGG